CAAUGGGGGAAACCCUGNAUGCAGCGACGCCGCCGUGGAGGAAGAAGGUCUNCNGAUUGUAAACUCCUGUUGUUGAGGAAGAUAAUGACGGUACUCAACAAGGAAGUGACGGCUAACUACGUGCCAGCAGCCGCGGUAAAACGUAGGUCACAAGCGUUGUCCGGAAUUACUGGGUGUAAAGGGAGCGCAGGCGGGAAGACAAGUUGGAAGUGAAAUCCAUGGGCUCAACCCAUGAACUGCUUUCAAAACUGUUUUUCUUGAGUAGUGCAGAGGUAGGCGGAAUUCCCGGUGUAGCGGUGGAAUGCGUAGAUAUCGGGAGGAACACCAGUGGCGAAGGCGGCCUACUGGGCACCAACUGACGCUGAGGCUCGAAAGUGUGGGUAGCAAACAGGAUUAGAUACCCUGGUAGUCCAAGGGCGAAUUC
RNAcentral lists this ribosomal RNA (424 nucleotides) under uncultured bacterium. Its description in RNAcentral is "SSU rRNA". It matches the Rfam family "Bacterial small subunit ribosomal RNA", at positions 369 to 808 of the family's 1533-position model. The record is from RNAcentral.